UACAGAGGCCCCAAGCAUUAUCCGGAAUCACUGGGCGUAAAGGGUGUGUAGGCGGCGAUAUUAGUCUUCUGUAAAAGCACUGGGGCUCAACCCCGGUAAUGCGGGAGAAACGGUAUUGCUUGAGGUCGCGAGAGGUAGAGGGAACUCAUGGUGUAGGGGUGAAAUCCGUUGAUAUCAUGGGGAACACCAAAUGCGAAGGCACUCUACUGGCGCGCACCUGACGCUGAGACACGAAAGCGUGGGGAUCGAACGGG
This 254-nucleotide ribosomal RNA is filed under the name uncultured bacterium. RNAcentral's name for it is "partial 16S ribosomal RNA". It matches the Rfam family "Bacterial small subunit ribosomal RNA", at positions 524 to 776 of the family's 1533-position model. The record is from RNAcentral.